AUAGACAUUCAUUUUUUAAUGCUAAUAGGGCUAACAGCCAUUUGGGCCAGUCAAAGCCGUUUAACUAUUCGUCCAUCAUCUAUUUAAGCCUCUUAACCGUCUCUUUAAAUUAUUUAAAAAGUACGGCUUUGACUGUGCCACAUAACCAGAUAAUCACAAUUAAUCCGGACUUUCUCCUUUAUUAUUUCAAUGGAUCUGACUUAUUUUGUAUUAAUUUUGAUAUUAAACCAUUGGCCCAAACUCAAGAUACCUAACUCUCCAUAAAACAACGAGACAAAGGGAAUCUAAUAUUCAAAUUCAGUAAACAACAACUCCAGCAUGUUAAAUUAUCCUACUAUUGUGUUUGAUAGUUAAUUCCUUGUUUUUUAAACUUCCACCAGUUACCUAAACCUCCUCAAUUAGCUUUUGGACCUCCU
RNAcentral lists this long non-coding RNA (416 nucleotides) under Brassica napus (rape). RNAcentral's name for it is "long non-coding RNA (BNAP_LNC003179)". Lineage: Eukaryota; Viridiplantae; Streptophyta; Magnoliopsida; Brassicales; Brassicaceae. The record is from RNAcentral.